AACGAACGCUGGCGGCAUGCCUAACACAUGCAAGUCGAACGAGACCUUCGGGUCUAGUGGCGCACGGGUGCGUACCGCGUGGGAACUUGCCCUUAGGUUCGGAAUAACUCCCCGAAAGGGGUGCUCAUACCGGAUAGUGUCUUCCGACCAAAGAGUUAUCGCCUUUGGAUGGGCCCGCGUUGGAUUAGCCAGUUGGUAGGGUAAAAGCCUACCAAGGCGACGAUGCAGAGCUGGUCUGAGAGGAUGAUCAGCCACACUGGGACUGAGACACGGCCCAGACUCCGACGGGAGGCAGCAGUGGGGAAUAUUGGACAAUGGGCGAAAGCCUGAUCCAGCAAUGCCGCGUGAGUGAUGAAGGCCUUAGGGUUGUAAAGCUCUUUUACCCGGGAUGAUAAUGACAGUACCGGGAGAAGAAGCUCCGGCUAACUCCGUG
Molecule: ribosomal RNA, 433 nt
Filed under: uncultured bacterium
Lineage: Bacteria
Description: partial 16S ribosomal RNA
Rfam family: Bacterial small subunit ribosomal RNA
Source: RNAcentral